GACGAACGCUGGCGGCGUGCUUAACACAUGCAAGUCGAACGGAAAGGCCCCUUUGGGGGUACUCGAGUGGCGAACGGGUGAGUAACACGUGAGUAACCUGCCCUUGACUUCGGGAUAACUUCAGGAAACUGGGGCUAAUACCGGAUAGGAAUCCUUGCUGCAUGGUGGGGGUUGGAAAGCUUCGGCGGUUUUGGAUGGACUCGCGGCUUAUCAGCUUGUUGGUGGGGUAGUGGCUUACCAAGGCUUUGACGGGUAGCCGGCCUGAGAGGGCGACCGGCCACAUUGGGACUGAGAGACGGCCCAGACUCCUACGGGAGGCAGAAGUGGGGAAUAUUGCACAAUGGGCGGAAGCCUGAUGCAGCAACGCCGCGUGCGGGAGGACGGCCUUCGGGUUGUAAACCGCUUUCAGCAGGGGCGAAGCUUGUGGUGACGGUACCUGCAGAAGAAGCACCGGCUAACUACGUG
RNAcentral lists this ribosomal RNA (465 nucleotides) under uncultured bacterium. RNAcentral describes it as "partial 16S ribosomal RNA". It matches the Rfam family "Bacterial small subunit ribosomal RNA", at positions 28 to 507 of the family's 1533-position model. The record is from RNAcentral.